UUAGUGGCGCACGGGUGNGUAACGCGUGGGAAUCUGCCCUUGGGUUCGGAAUAACAUCGGGAAACUGAUGCUAAUACCGGAUGAUGACGUAAGUCCAAAGAUUUAUCGCCCAGGGAUGAGCCCGCGUAGGAUUAGCUAGUUGGUGAGGUAAAGGCUCACCAAGGCGACGAUCCUUAGCUGGUCUGAGAGGAUGAUCAGCCACACUGGGACUGAGACACGGCCCAGACUCCUACGGGAGGCAGCAGUAGGGAAUAUUGGACAAUGGGCGAAAGCCUGAUCCAGCAAUGCCGCGUGAGUGAUGAAGGCCUUAGGGUUGUAAAGCUCUUUUACCCGGGAUGAUACAUGACAG
This 349-nucleotide ribosomal RNA is filed under the name Sphingobium sp. S37. RNAcentral's name for it is "bacterial SSU rRNA". It matches the Rfam family "Bacterial small subunit ribosomal RNA", at positions 92 to 475 of the family's 1533-position model. The record is from RNAcentral. Lineage: Bacteria; Pseudomonadati; Pseudomonadota; Alphaproteobacteria; Sphingomonadales; Sphingobiaceae.